GCCUUCGGGAACGCACAGACAGGUGCUGCAUGGCUGUCGUCAGCUCGUGUUGUGAAAUGUUGGGUUAAGUCCCGCAACGAGCGCAACCCCUAUUGUUAGUUGCCAUCAUUCAGUUGGGCACUCUAGCGAGACUGCCGGUAAUAAACCGGAGGAAGGUGGGGAUGACGUCAAAUCAUCAUGCCCCUUAUGACCUGGGCUACACACGUGCUACAAUGGUUGGUACAACGAGUUGCGAGUCGGUGACGGCGAGCUAAUCUCUUAAAGCCAAUCUCAGUUCGGAUUGUAGGCUGCAACUCGCCUACAUGAAGUCGGAAUCGCUAGUAAUCGCGGAUCAGCACGCCGCGGUGAAUACGUUCCCGGGCCUU
Molecule: ribosomal RNA, 365 nt
Filed under: uncultured Streptococcus sp.
Lineage: Bacteria; Bacillati; Bacillota; Bacilli; Lactobacillales; Streptococcaceae
Description: bacterial SSU rRNA
Rfam family: Bacterial small subunit ribosomal RNA
Source: RNAcentral